Vitis riparia (riverbank grape) is the source of this 1138-nucleotide long non-coding RNA. RefSeq lists it as uncharacterized. The record is from RefSeq and is a predicted model, not a curated record. NCBI's taxonomy places the organism in Eukaryota, Viridiplantae, Streptophyta, Magnoliopsida, Vitales, Vitaceae. The transcript has 2 exons.
UUUUGCUAAUCCAAUUUUACGUAUUUCAAAAUUAAUAAUGUAAUUAGAAAAUAUUUGGAGAAUCAUGCACUUUCAGCUUAUGUGUAUUUUAAUGCCAAAAAUACCCUUCACCUUGCCAGCUAAGCGUUCCACAUCUGAAAAUUCAGAAGAGAAAAAACCCUCCGAAAAGCCACAAAGCCAAUAUCUCUCUCAUAUACUGCUUUUCCCAUUCUCUCCCAUUCUCAAUCUCAGAAACCCAAAAUGCUGUAAAACCUAACCUCUUUCAUUUCUGUAACAUUCUCGUCUCCCAUUUUGUUGAUAAACAUCAACAGCCCAAAACCUAACGUUCCCAAAAAAAAAAGUUAUAAUGCUGCGGAGGAGAAGAAUUUAUCAGGUGGAUGUGUUGGUAAAUGAGAAACGAAUCAGAAGGAAGAGACACGGGACUACGGGAGGAAACCGGGAAAGGUGAUAUCCUUUUUGUUCCCAAAUUACUUGAUCCAGAAACCCUAAUUUCUGAAACGAAGAUCAGAUCAGGGGAAAAUUGGUGAUCGGAAUCAAUGGUGGGUGCAUCGAGCUCAUGGUCUCGCGCACUGGUUCAGAUCUCACCUUACACCUUCUCCGCCAUUGUCGUGUCCGUCUUGGGUGUCGCUUGGGAAUUUAUAUAACUGGAAGUAGUUUAAUUGGUGUUGCCAUCAAAGCUCUUCGGAUUACUUCAAAAAAUCUGAUCAGGUGAGUACUUCAACUUUCUUUCUUUCUUUCUUUCUUUUUUUCUCGCUGGUUUUAUGGAUCAUUGAUGUGGUAUUACAUGGACUGGCUUAUUAAUGAGAGGUAACUGACAACUUCCAUGUGUAAAAAAAAUUGAAUUAUGCCACCACUUACUAGAUUGUCCGGGCAUAGGUUAUAUGGUCGUAGGAUAAGCUGAUACGCCUAUUUACCAUCAAUAUCAAUGAGUGUCAAUUCUGAAAUCUUACUGAACAUACAUUUGGACAAAUCAAUAUCAAUAUUUCGGCCAAUAUUUCAGUAUGGUUCAUGUUGAUAUUCUAUAAUUUGUUCCACAGUAUACUUUCUUAAUUUGUUCCUCUUUUGAAUGAUAUCUCAAGACAAGCAAAGCACUCACAUUGCAUAUGCUAUGUUGUUUUAACAAAUCAUUUACCCAAGC